Molecule: long non-coding RNA, 841 nt
Organism: Thunnus maccoyii (southern bluefin tuna)
Lineage: Eukaryota; Metazoa; Chordata; Actinopteri; Scombriformes; Scombridae
Exons: 9
Source: RefSeq, a predicted model, not a curated record
CGGUCAGGCUUUAUAAACUUUGUCAUCGCCCUUCUUCCUUCUUUUGGUUUCCUCUGUCAUGGCGUUAAGUCGCCCCGGUCCUCUGCAGAACAUAUUUAACAUGUUAAAGAGUUUUAAUAAUAGUGCAUGAUCGUUUAAUUGUGAAUGUGAACACGUGCUAGUUAAACGUCAGUUUGUAUCUUUGGUGAAAACGUGGUUUCACGUUAGCAUCUCGUGCUUAGCGGGCCUCAAGCAGCCACGUGGAGUGAAAGAUGGAAGACAAACUAAGUGGUCUUCAGUGUGACAAGUCACUUCUUGAGUCAAACAAAUGUCAUAUUGGAGUCAUCGUUGGGUCUUAUGUCCCUGGGAGGUGAAGCUGAGCCCAGGCCAGAAGAUGGAAAACCCAAAGUGAAGAGCUGAAAAUGUAUGUGAGCUGCCUUAAAAGAUGACACUGCCAGGAAAAUACACCUGCUGGAGGCCUGGAGUCUGACAGGUUGCCAUGCAGGACUGCAAAUGCUCCCAAGUACACCAGCUAAAUGAAAAGGAUUCAUUUCAUUCAGGUUGGGCUGGUUACUGAAGAAGAUUCCUCAGAAAGAAGUGAUUCAUCUUCUGAUGGACUGCAGCUUUGAGAUGCUCCUCGUGCAGUUCUGCCAGUGUGAUCCUGUCCCUGAAGUCUGAGAAGUAAAUUAUGACAGAAUUGGAUCCAGUGGCUGCAGUGACUUUGUCAGUAUGCCUCAAAGUUUCAUGUGGUGCCAUGGACUCAUGAACACUGUCUGAAGAUGGAUGUCAACAUGUUUGUAGAAAAAUGUUUUACACCUUGUAAAAGCUGAUUAAAUAAAGUCAACACAGUCUUAUAAACUAA